UGAUUAAAGGUCGGUUUUGAUCUGAAAUCACACAUCUUGGUUGUUUUUUCUUUCUCUUUCAGUUGAAUAAGGGAUAUUAUAUGGUGUGUUUUUUAUUUCUUGUUUUUGGGUUGUGUGUUUUUUAUUUCGCGUUGUUUAUUUGAUUCAGAUUGAAAAAGCAUCUUUGAUCAAAUGCAAAUUCAAUCAAUGGUUUUGACGUCGUCGAUGUUGUAAGAUACGGAUACAUGUGUUUUCGAUGUUGUGAUCCUUUUUUAUUUUUAAUGACUUUGAAUUUGUAUUCCACAGGGAAGUGAAUCUAAAUCUAAAACACACACAGAUAGCAUAGAAACCUUUAGUUAUCCCUCCUCCUUCUUCUUCUUCCAGUCGAUUGAAGUAGGAUAUGUUUCGCAGAAGCUUUAAACCCGGGAAAUGUAAAAAUGCAUUGAGGAUGGCUGCUGCGCGUAUAAAGCUUAUAAACCACAAAAGAGGACUCCAGGUGAAACAACUCGAGAGGGAGAUAAUAUAUUUGCUCGAGAGUUGUCAGUCUCACACUGCCACAAUCCGGGUUAAAGCUUUUGAAAUGGAGCAGAAGAAGAUGGCGGCAUAUGAUACUAUUGCCAUUUACUGUGAACUUAUCGCAUCACGCAUGCCCUUGAUUGAAUCACAGAAAAACUGCCCUGGUGAUUUGAAGGAAGCAAUUUCAAGUGUAAUAUAUGCAAGUCGAUUAUGUACCGAAAUACCUGAGCUCCUGGAUGUGAGGAUGCAUUUCAUAUCAAAGUAUGGUAAAAUAUUUGUUUCAGAUGCUGAAUUUCGCUCUGAGGGUGGUGCAAAUUUCAUGUUGAUGGAGAAAUUGUCUUCCAAACCACCUGAUCAUCCAACCAAGAUAAAAAUACUGGUGGCAAUUGCUGAGGAGCAUAAUAUCAAAUGGAAACCCAAUGAUAUUGGGCAAAGUACUUUUGGGAAGGCGGCUUAUGUGGAACCUUCUGAAGUCCACACUUCACCUGUUCAUGAUGACGAGGGUCCAGCAAAUUCAUGUGCUACCUCUCAACUUGAACCAAAGCAAGAUGCAUCUACACAUUCAUAUGAACAGAAUGCAAGUGGUUCUGCUAGAAACGGUAGUGGCAAUCACUCAACAACGCCAGGCAUGGCUAAUGUAGAAAUUACAUUUUCAGAAGACGGUGGACAAGAAAUGAAUUUUGAAGAUUCAUAUUUUGAAAACCGGAGUGCUUUUCCAGUUGGUAAGCAUUUGGACAUGGAAUCUAAGGGUGCAACCUCUGCUGCACUGGCUGAUAUUUCAUCUUCAUUAAGAGCACACGUCAAAUCUUCUGAUUUUGAUAGUUAUGCUCUAGUUGCAGACUCACAAAAGACAACUAGUACUCAUGAACCUCACAUUCAGAAUAAGAAAAGUGAAACAAAAAAGAAAUCAAGCUCAUUGGCCUCAAUUCGCUACUUUGAUUCCGAUGAUAGCGAUUCUGAGGAUGGACUUCAUAAACGGAAUUCAGCUAGUGUUGCCCAUCCUAUUCGUAGAAUAUGUCAGAGGACGUAAGCUUCUUCAAAUUCUGGUACAGUUUUAAGUUCAAAGGAUGCUUCUUUAUCUGAGGCUGUUGUGACUCAUGGUUCAAGGCUUGGAUGGAAAUGGAAAUCUUCAAGGGUUCAUAAUAAUGAUCUCUGAAAAUUAGGCAGGACCUAGACCUGGAUCAGCAAAUAUUGAAUCAUUUAAGCCAAUUUCUGAACCUAUGAUAUCCAAAAAUGAGGAAAUGAUGAAUUCAACUGCAAGGGUACACUUUCCAGUUCUCUUCCCAGAACAAUGAUACAAGAUAGUGAGGCCAUAAGAUUUCAAAAACUUUAAAUUCUGGUGGAGACACUCCCCCUAUACAGAAGAAUACAAAAUCGAACCUGAGCUUGUGGCAUCUAGCUAGGGACAUUGCCUCCUGGAUUAAUAGCAUUCCAUGGUAAAUGGUAAUGUACAUACUAUUGAUCCUUUUCGGCACAUGCUGCGAUUGGGAUAUCAAGAAAAUACAAGUCUUGUUGAUGCUAAGAAUGCUGGGGUUGUCAAUUUCAAUGGCUGAGCAAAACCAUGGCUAGAUAUUAUUUUUCCAAAACUAAGGCCAUUGUGGACCAAAUAUGUUGACUUUUCAGAUAACUUCAUCAAGAGUUGUCACAUUAUUGCAUCAUAACUUGGAUAUUGAGAAAAUGUGACACUUUUAAUGUUGAAGAAAAGGUAUUUGUACAGAAGGGAACGAAAAUGAGAGGACUUCCAUGUGCAAGCCAGUGGCUUCAGAAUAAGAAUUUUAUAAGAAAAGUGAGCUUUUGGAUGGACAAAAAGAUCACAACACUCCCAUUUUUUUGCUAUUUAAUUUACAUAUCACGUUUUAUAUUUGCGAAAUUUAAUUGAUAUAUGCACUAAAGUAUUUACACCUGCAUUAAAGACAUUUCAUCAUAUAGGCAUUUGUGGACUACUUUAUUUCAUAUAAAUAUUUGCGGGCAUAUUUUACAAAACUUUUGUAUUUGUAUUCACUCUUAACAACUCUCCAACAAAGAUUAUAUAAUUUUAUUUUUAAAAAUGAAAAACAUUGGUCAUGACACCGGAUAUGUUAAGACAUCUACAUUUUAAGUAAAAAA
Medicago truncatula (barrel medic) is the source of this 2601-nucleotide RNA transcript. RefSeq lists it as uncharacterized. The transcript has 8 exons. NCBI's taxonomy places the organism in Eukaryota, Viridiplantae, Streptophyta, Magnoliopsida, Fabales, Fabaceae. The record is from RefSeq and is a predicted model, not a curated record.